AUGGCUCCCCAGUGCGCUCACACCUGUGAACCAACGAGGCGCGCAGGGGAGAUCAGGAAAAGCCGGUUUCCUGGCUGCGCUGGCAUUUGCUCAAAGGAACGUGAAACUCAAGACUCUCAUGGUGUUCAUUUAAUAUCGAACAGAAACGCUGGCGAGGAUGUGGUGGAAGACAGCGGAAUGGGAGGAAGACACGCAGCCUCCCAGCGUGACGUUGCUUCCAGGAAAACACAAGGAGAUGAAAUCUGUAAGGAUGUGCAGCGACACGCACGGCUGGCUGCCGACGGCCUGCGUGCAAUGGAGCGCGGGCUCAGCUCAUCCGAGGCUGCCUGCCCUUCGUCAGAGCUGGGAGCUGAGCGUGUGCACCGGUACUCGGCUUCGAAUCCUGCGUGUCCAAACCAGCCUGAAGUCGCUCUGGGUGCCCAUGUUUGGAGCCUCGCCUUGGUGGUCCAUCCCUGCCCCCAGCAGAUUGGCUGCCGCCUCUUGUGCUGUGACGCCUGCCUCCACCUCCAGAACUCUCAAAAGCUGCAUGUGGUGUCCAGCAUCGUUCUGCUGGCUGUUUGUGCAAUGGUUCCCGUGAGCAGUCAGGCCCGCGAGACAGCUCUGGGACAGCGCUUCUCCAAACUUCACUGUGCGGUCACUCAGAUCGUCUGGGGAUCUCACCAACAUCUGGUUCAGGAGACCUGGGAGCACUUGGUCUGCAUCUCGGGGGUGUUCUACAUUAGGAGCAAGGGCUCCCUGCUCCCAGGUGCCCAGAGACCAACACCGUGGCACCAGCUUCCGAGAAAAGAGACGCUGUGUCUGCAAGGCUGA
Molecule: long non-coding RNA, 810 nt
Filed under: Oryctolagus cuniculus (rabbit)
Lineage: Eukaryota; Metazoa; Chordata; Mammalia; Lagomorpha; Leporidae
Description: lncRNA (ENSOCUG00000036129.1)
Source: RNAcentral